GGGUGAGUAACGCGUAUGCGACCUGCCCGUUGCAGGGGGAUAAUCGGGAGAAAUCCCGUCUAAUACCGCGUAACGCCGCGGGGCUGCAUGGCCCUGCGGCCAAAGGGAGCGAUUCCGGCAACGGAUGGGCAUGCGUGACAUUAGCUAGUUGGCGGGGCAACGGCCCACCAAGGCGACGAUGUCUAGGGGUUCUGAGAGGAAGGUCCCCCACACUGGUACUGAGACACGGACCAGACUCCUACGGGAGGCAGCAGUGAGGAAUAUUGGUCAAUGGGCGCGAGCCUGAACCAGCCAAGUCGCGUGAGGGAUGACGGCCCUACGGGUUGUAAACCUCUUUUGUCGGGGAGCAAAUUCCGCCACGUGUGGCGGAGUCGAGAGUACCCGAAGAAAAAGCAUCGGCUAACUCCGUGCCAGCAGCCGCGGUAAUACGGAGGAUGCGAGCGUUAUCCGGAUUUAUUGGGUUUAAAGGGUGCGUAGGCGGACUGUCAAGUCAGCGGUAAAAUACGGGGGCUCAACCUCCGCCCGCCGUUGAAACUGACGGUCUUGAGUGGGCGAGAAGUAUGCGGAAUGCGUGGUGUAGCGGUGAAAUGCAUAGAUAUCACGCAGAACUCCGAUUGCGAAGGCAGCAUACCGGCGCCCAACUGACGCUGAAGCACGAAAGCGUGGGUAUCGAACAGGAUUAGAUACCCUGGUAGUCCACGCAGUAAACGAU
This 712-nucleotide ribosomal RNA is filed under the name uncultured bacterium. RNAcentral describes it as "bacterial SSU rRNA". It matches the Rfam family "Bacterial small subunit ribosomal RNA", at positions 104 to 810 of the family's 1533-position model. The record is from RNAcentral.